RNAcentral lists this ribosomal RNA (253 nucleotides) under uncultured bacterium. RNAcentral's name for it is "partial 16S ribosomal RNA". It matches the Rfam family "Bacterial small subunit ribosomal RNA", at positions 524 to 776 of the family's 1533-position model. The record is from RNAcentral.
UACGGAGGGUGCAAGCGUUAUCCGGAUUCACUGGGUUUAAAGGGUGCGUAGGUGGGCAGGUAAGUCAGUGGUGAAAUCUCCGGGCUUAACUCGGAAACUGCCAUUGAUGCUAUCUGUCUUGAAUACCGUGGAGGUUAGCGGAAUAUGUCAUGUAGCGGUGAAAUGCUUAGAUAUGACAUAGAACACCAAUUGCGAAGGCAGCUGGCUACACGAAUAUUGACACUGAUGCACGAAAGCGUGGGGAUCAAACAGG